UCUAAUAUGGCAGAUAAUAUGUUAUGGAUUUAAACCCCAUUAAUAAAGGAUUUCCUUUUUUUAGAA
RNAcentral lists this transfer RNA (66 nucleotides) under Aporia hastata. RNAcentral describes it as "tRNA-Leu". The record is from RNAcentral. Lineage: Eukaryota; Metazoa; Arthropoda; Insecta; Lepidoptera; Pieridae.